UUUACCUUAACCAGGUAACGAAUACUCUUCCUAAUGUCCCCGGGUGAGUCUAUCCUUGAUAUAUUCAUCUUAACCGAUGACGAAUAUUAUUCCCUUUGAGUCUAUCCUUGAUAUGCUCACUUUAACUAGUAAUGGAUAUUCUCUCCCUUCGGUCUUCUUCCCAGUAACCGGUAGUUGUAAAUCCUAUUUCUGCAGUUUUU
This 200-nucleotide long non-coding RNA is filed under the name Lathyrus oleraceus (garden pea). RNAcentral's name for it is "Pisum sativum (pea) long non-coding RNA (PSAT_LNC013989)". The record is from RNAcentral. Lineage: Eukaryota; Viridiplantae; Streptophyta; Magnoliopsida; Fabales; Fabaceae.